GCUGCGGGCGGGGUCGGGCGCCCCGCGCGGUCCCUCCGCCGCGGCUCCCCUGGGCUGCGGAGUGCUGCGCCCAGCAGUUUUCGGCGGAGCCCUGGGCGGGUCGCAGCCCCUGCCUCUCGCCUGUCGCGGCUCACAAAACCAGAGCAUCUAAGCGCGCUCGUUAUUUCUGCUUCCUCGGUCCUCUCGGUUUUGUGGCGCUGUGUGUGCCUGUGCCUGGACUGUUCGAAGGAGUACAUUAAAUACUCUGCUCCCACGGUAUUCGGUUGCGUUCGAGUUCACGCUCCACGCUGAAGAAAUGGAACCUAGCCGGCGUUUAGCAUCUAAUUCCGUUUUCCAGCUACAUUUCUGAUUGCCGGUGCCUAGCUAGUUGCGCGUUCACGGUGUGCGGAAGCACUGGGUAAGGGAUCAUCUCAUUUAAUCGUCGCUUGAGCCUUAAGGUACUAGUGCUGCCAUCCUGAUGUAACAGUCCAGGUGCCAGACAGAGUGAAGAAGCCAUCCUGGACAUCCAGCCCUGGGCUUUUGGUGUCAUAAGAAAGAAAGCAUCGCCUAAUGCAAGCAUCUUCAGCUAGAAUUUUCCUCAAAAAAAGACAUAUUUCUGAAAAACCAGAAGGCAUAAAACAAUUCAGAAAGUGAAGAAAAAAAAGAAGAAGAAGAGGAGGAGGAGGAAGAGGAAGAAGAAGAAGAACCAACCCACAAGUAUGCAAACAGAUGGGUAAAAAUCUUUAAAAAGAAAAAAGAAAAAGAAAAAGAAAAAAAGAUUUGCCUUUUCCCAACUUCAAGUUAACCUGAAGUCUGCCAGUUUACUUGGAAGGCCUGGGUGGCCCCUUACAGCUUCAUUUUCCAGCCUGUGCCUUAAAACUCCAGAGAAAUGCUUCCUCCUAUUAACAAUGUCAGACUCUCAGAAAAUUAUUGAGUAGUGCAAAUAAUUCAAUAAAACAAAUAUUUAGAAGAAUACGACUCUUUUUCAUUCAUUCAUUCAUUCAUUCAUUCAUUCAUUCUUUUUCAUGUUCUGGUGUACAUGCAUGCUCAACUGUUCCAUUCUGGAUCUCUCCAGAAGCAUCCACUAUAUACUCAAAUCUACAUCAAGAUUUAGUUUAAAAAGUAGAAAAGAGUGGACGGAGUUUAAAACAUAAAACAAGGCAAGGGGUCGGGGGUGAUGGUGGUUAAAAUCCACCCCUGGCUAUUAAUUCCAGACCAGUGACACGACAAGAUAAAUAUAUUUUUCCCUAGUUUGUUCCAUAAGCUGGCCAAACCCAAUCAUUUGUCUUCCUGCAAAGUGGUGAGCGAUCACUGAGACUGUGUUUUCCUUUUUGAUAUGCAUUUUGUGUCUAGA
This is a long non-coding RNA of Nyctereutes procyonoides (raccoon dog), 1333 nucleotides long. RefSeq lists it as uncharacterized. The transcript has 5 exons. Lineage: Eukaryota; Metazoa; Chordata; Mammalia; Carnivora; Canidae. The record is from RefSeq and is a predicted model, not a curated record.